Molecule: non-coding RNA, 26 nt
Filed under: Homo sapiens (human)
Lineage: Eukaryota; Metazoa; Chordata; Mammalia; Primates; Hominidae
Source: RNAcentral
UCUUAAGUUGGGAAACAGAAUGGGCC